Molecule: ribosomal RNA, 136 nt
Filed under: uncultured eukaryote
Lineage: Eukaryota
Description: partial 18S ribosomal RNA
Rfam family: Eukaryotic small subunit ribosomal RNA
Source: RNAcentral
UGGUGGAGUGAUUUGUCUGCUUAAUUGCGAUAACGAACGAGACUAUCACCUUUAGUUAAUGCAGUUUGUUUCGACAGACUGGACAUAUACUAUAGGGACAUUUGGCUCAAGCCAAAGGAGGUGGAUAGCAAUAACA